RNAcentral lists this ribosomal RNA (429 nucleotides) under Catenibacterium mitsuokai. Its description in RNAcentral is "bacterial SSU rRNA". It matches the Rfam family "Bacterial small subunit ribosomal RNA", at positions 96 to 511 of the family's 1533-position model. The record is from RNAcentral. Lineage: Bacteria; Bacillati; Bacillota; Erysipelotrichia; Erysipelotrichales; Coprobacillaceae.
UGGCGAACGGGUGAGUAAUACAUAGGUAACCUGCCCCUGUGCGGGGGAUAACAGGAGGAAACUCCUGCUAAUACCGCAUAGCCAUGAGCACCGCAUGGAGCUCAUGCCAAAUAUCCUUUACGGGAUAGCGCAGGGAUGGACCUAUGGCGCAUUAGCUAGUUGGCGGGGCAACGGCCCACCAAGGCAACGAUGCGUAGCCGGCCUGAGAGGGCGGACGGCCACAUUGGGACUGAGACACGGCCCAGACUCCUACGGGAGGCAGCAGUAGGGAAUUUUCGGCAAUGGGGGAAACCCUGACCGAGCAACGCCGCGUGAGCGAAGAAGGCCUUCGGGUCGUAAAGCUCUGUUGUAAAGGAAGAACGUCGGACACAGGAAAUGGUGUGCGAGUGACGGUACUUUACCAGAAAGCCACGGCUAACUACGUGCCAG